This 31-nucleotide non-coding RNA is filed under the name Mus musculus (house mouse). The record is from RNAcentral. Lineage: Eukaryota; Metazoa; Chordata; Mammalia; Rodentia; Muridae.
UCCUCAGAUGAAUAUGAUGUUUCAGGAGGGC